Molecule: ribosomal RNA, 301 nt
Filed under: uncultured bacterium
Lineage: Bacteria
Description: partial 16S ribosomal RNA
Rfam family: Bacterial small subunit ribosomal RNA
Source: RNAcentral
CAGCCGCCGCGGUAACACGUAGGUGGCAAGCGUUGUCCGGAAUCAUUGGGCGUAAAGGGAGCGCAGGCGGGCCGGUAAGUCUUACUUAAAAGUGCGGGGCUUAACCCCGUGAUGGGAGAGAAACUAUCGGUCUUGAGUACAGGAGAGGAAAGCGGAAUUCCCAGUGUAGCGGUGAAAUGCGUAGAUAUUGGGAAGAACACCAGUGGCGAAGGCGGCUUUCUGGACUGCAACUGACGCUGAGGCUCGAAAGCCAGGGGAGCGAACGGGAUUAGAUACCCCUGUAGUCCCUGUCUCUUAUACC